CGACGCCGCGUGCGGGAAGAAGGCCUUAGGGUUGUAAACCGCUUUCAGGAGGACGAAGCCACUCGGGUUAAUAGCCCAGAGGGUGACGGUACCUCCAGAAGAAGCCCCGGCUAACUACGUGCCAGCAGCCGCGGUAAUACGUAGGGGGCGAGCGUUGUCCGGAUUCAUUGGGCGUAAAGCGCGUGUAGGCGGUCAGGUAGGUCCGAUGUGAAAACUGGAGGCUCAACCUCCAGCUGUCAUUGGAAACCAUCUGGCUAGAGUCCGGAAGAGGAGAGUGGAAUUCCUGGUGUAGCGGUGAAAUGCGCAGAUAUCAGGAAGAACACCUAUGGCGAAGGCAGCUCUCUGGGACGGUACUGACGCUGAGACGCGAAAGCGUGGGGAGCGAACAGGAUUAGAUACCCUGGUAGUCCACGCCGUAAACGAUGGGCGCUAGGUGUGGGCGGUGUCGACUCCGUCCGUGCCGAAGCUAACGCAUUAAGCGCCCCGCCUGGGGAGUACGGCCGCAAGGCUA
This 511-nucleotide ribosomal RNA is filed under the name uncultured Actinomycetes bacterium. Its description in RNAcentral is "bacterial SSU rRNA". It matches the Rfam family "Bacterial small subunit ribosomal RNA", at positions 392 to 896 of the family's 1533-position model. Lineage: Bacteria; Bacillati; Actinomycetota; Actinomycetes. The record is from RNAcentral.